AAUAUUGCACAAUGGGCGAAAGCCUGAUGCAGCAACGCCGCGUGAGGGAUGACGGCCUUCGGGUUGUAAACCUCUUGUCGUAGGGAAGAAGCGAAAGUGACGGUACCUGCAGAAAAAGCACCGGCCAACUACGUGCCAGGAGCCGCGGUAAUACGUAGGGGGCAGGCGUUGUCCGGAAUUAUUGGGCGUAAAGAGUCCGAAGUGGGCUUGGCGCGUCUGCUGUGAAAUCCCGGAGCUCAUCGCCGGGCGUGCAGUGGGUACGGGCAGGCUAGAGGGCGGUAGGGGAGAUUGGAAUUCCUGGUGUAGCGGUGGAAUGCGCAGAUAUCAGGAGGAACACCGAUGGCGAAGGCAGAUCUCUGGGCCGCUACUGACGCUGAGGAGCGAAAGCAUGGGGAGCGAACA
This 402-nucleotide ribosomal RNA is filed under the name uncultured bacterium. Its description in RNAcentral is "partial 16S ribosomal RNA". It matches the Rfam family "Bacterial small subunit ribosomal RNA", at positions 360 to 774 of the family's 1533-position model. The record is from RNAcentral.